RNAcentral lists this ribosomal RNA (788 nucleotides) under uncultured archaeon. RNAcentral's name for it is "bacterial SSU rRNA". It matches the Rfam family "Archaeal small subunit ribosomal RNA", at positions 1 to 754 of the family's 1478-position model. The record is from RNAcentral.
GGAAUUCGAUUUUCCGGUUGAUCCUGCCGGACCCUACUGCUAUCGGGGUGGGACUAAGACAUGCGAGUUGAGCGUCUCUAAGCCAUGGUAGAGACGCAGCGUACGGCUCAGUAACACGUGGCUAACCUACCCUUAGGACGGGGACAACCCCGGGAAACUGGGACUAAUACCCGAUAGGUGAGGAGGCCUGGAAUGGUUCUUAGUCGAAAAGGCGUUGAAACCAUGCUUUUCGACGUCGCCUAAGGAUGGGGCCGCGUCCGAUCAGGUUGUUGGUGGGGUAACGGCUCACCAAGCCUUUAACCGGUACGGGCCGUGAGAGGGGGAGCCCGGAGAUGGGCACUGAGACAAGGGCCCAGGCCCUACGGGGCGCAGCAGUCGCGAAAACUCCGCAAUGCGCGAAAGCGCGACGGGGCUACCCCGAGUGCCGUCCGCUGAGGAUGGCUUUUCCCCGGUGUAAUGAGCCGGGGGAAUAAGGAGAGGGCAAGACUGGUGUCAGCCGCCGCGGUAAUACCAGCUCUCCGAGUGGUAGGGAUGAUUAUUGGGCCUAAAGCGUCCGUAGCCGGCUUAGCAAGUCUCCUGUUAAAUUCAGCGACCUAAUCGUUGAGCCGCGGGAGAUACUACUAGGCUAGGAGGCGGGAGAGGCCGACGGUAUUCUCGGGGUAGGGGUGAAAUCCUAUAAUCCCGGGAGGACCACCAGUGGCGAAGGCUGUCGGCUAGAACGCGCUCGACGGUGAGGGACGAAAGCUGGGGGAGCGAACCGGAUUAGAUACCCGGGUAGUCCCAGCCGU